CUCUCCUUGAUCCAAUUGGUCAUAAAUCCAAGAUGGAAAAUAUAUUUGACUAGUGUGGUCAGCAAAUGCAUUCACAUUCUUUCUCCUUCCAACUAUUUCCAUCAAUAACAUUCCAAAACUAUAAACAUCGGCUUUGUAUGAGAUGCCUCCAAGAUUUUUGUAAACCAAUUCAGGAGCAAUAUAUCCUAUUGUUCCUCGUGCUGUAGUGAGAGAGACAAUGCUAUCAUCUACUGAAUACAAUUUAGCAAGGCCAAAAUCGGAAACUUUUGGAUUAAAAUUCUCAUCAAGAAGAAUAUUGUGUGGCUUGAUAUCAAAAUGUAAGAUUUGCAUGUCACAUCCUUGAUGCAAGUAGUGAAUUCCUUGAGCCACCCCAAGUACAAUAUCAAACAUUUUUUUCCAGCCCAAAGUGUUCUUAUUUUCUUCUGUAAAUAUGAUUUUAUCUAAAGAUCCAUUAGACAUGAAGUCAUAUACCAGAGCUUGCUUUGAUCCCUCCACACAAAAUCCAAUAAGUUUUGCCACAUUAGCAUGAUGAAUUCUCCCAAUAGAAGCAAAUUCAUUUAUAAAAUCUUGGCCAUUACCCUUUGACUUGCCCAACAAUUUUAUUGCCACAUGAUGGCCGCUACGAAGCUUUCCUUUAAACACUGAGCCAUAACCUCCUUCACCUAAUUUAUCUUUAAAAUUUUUAGUCAUUUUUUUAAUUUCUUUAAAAGAAUACCUUAUUGGCACCAGAUUAUUUUGGCUUUGAAGGAACUCUUCAAUCGUAUCAUCCAUGGAUAAAUGUCUUCUUCUCCAUUUGUACGUGACAAGAGCAAGCAAACAAAUGAUCCCAGGAAACGGCCUCAAAAAGAUAAUUCCACCUUUCAAGAAAUAUAAUGUAACACGUUGACAUUAAUCAAAUAAUAUAUAACUUACAUUCUCAGAAAAAAAGUAUAUAGUGUGAUAGUUUUAUGUUAACUAGUAUUUGAGAGAGUUGCAUAUUUCACUAGUCUAUGAACUUAACCGAGAGUAGUCUGAAUUAUAUGUUAUGUUUUUGUCAUUAGCAGGUAUAUCUCAACAAAUUAAAAUUCAGAAUUUCAAACACAAAAGGAGUAAAUCAUGCAAAGUGGAAACCAAUUAUUCUAACCUCACACAUUCCAAUAGAUCAGGGUCAUGACAUUCACCCAAAUUAACACAUUCGUAACCCCAUCCAAUUAGCAAAUUCUAAAGAAAGAACAGGAUCCUUAACCAUGAAGGAUACUCAACUGUUGUUCCUAUUCAUGCCAAAUAAACUUGAAGAAGGACAAAUUAAAAAUAUAAUAACCUUCAAAUUUCAUAAAUGAAACAAAAUCUAGAUCACAACCAAAAGAUGCAAGAGAACCCCCAAAAAACAGAUUUGAUAAAUUCAAGAGCUAACUUUGUUGAAUGUUUUAGCAAAAUUAAUAUCCACCAAACUUAUAACCUGUGAAAGUUCUAAACAAUACCAUUAUGAAAACAAACUUAGGUAAAACUCUAACAUCUUUCUUAACUUGACAAGAAAAUUUCUUUCAUAUAGAAGAAGAUUGUAUUCUGCAGUCAAAAUCCUUAAAGAGUGCCAUAGGUUUCUUAGUUUUGCAGUGAAAUUAAAUAUAAACUUGUAUAAUAUGAUAGGCUCCUUAUUCUUUUUUUUCCCCAGAUUAUAGCUAAUAUUUGUUCUCAACUAGUGCUAGAAAUUGAAUCGGUGCAAAUGCAAAUGUGCAAAUCUAAAAUUACAUAUACCUGUUAUUGCCAAACAGAGAAUAUAAGUUCCUGUUAAAAAACCACGAAUAAAAACGAAAUAUAGUUAUUUCAAGAGAGCAACGAAAUAGCAAAAUCAAAGCACUUCUAAUGAAUUUUGGGAAGCAUACUGCUUGGUCGAGACAAUGAAUCGUAGCCAUGGAAAAGGAAAUGUACAAAGCAGUCCAUAUAGUUUCUGAAGGCAUAUUUCAAGCUUGACAAUCUGAAUUAUAUAUUCAACAAAUCAAAGUAAAAUUAAUAAAGGGGUGUAAAGGAAAAUUCCAAAUUUGUGUAAAAAAAAGCAAUGGAAGGUAAUUUAAAACAUUAUAUUCUGUUUUGUGGUAUAUGCUCAAAAAAAUUACAACAAUUCUUUACAUAUUUUUGUUUGCAAAAAGUAUGCAACAUGUAUUACAGUAUAAGAGUUUUUAGGUAACAAAAACUAUUUAAUAUAAUGAAAGGUGAGAUAAAAUGAAUUAAUCCAAAAAGUAUAUAUUAUAGCAUUAAAAGAGUUUUUGCAAAAAAAUUAAACUCAUCCACAAUGGUGGAAUAGUUACGUACUAGUACUACCAACUAAAUUGAAAAUUCAUCAAAAAUUAAAAAUGAAAGUAAAAAGAGAGACAUUAUAUUUUAAGAAAGUUUGCUGAAUUUAGAAACAUUGUGGCUGUAAAAACAUAAUCAAAUAUAAUUGCCCAAAAAGAAGACAAAACAGCAGAGGCAGAUACUAAAUUAGAAAUGCUUUUUGUUUUUUUCUUCAUUUGAUUGUUAAAUUUUCAUAAAUUUUAGAUGCAAAAUAAUGAUACUUGAUUAGCAUCCUAAAAUUUAAUUGCGAAAAAAAGUAACAUAAAAUAAAAGAAUAAAAAAAGCAAAGGUAGACGCUGUAACUAAAAAUUCCAGUCUGAUGCACACUCAAAAUGCAAACUGAAAUUAUUAAAGAAACUUACAUGUCUUUAAACGAAACUUUGUUUUGAUAGUAGUAGCAACUCUGGUAAUCGCAUCUAUCCCAUUCGACCCAAAAACCCACUAAUAGUUUUUUGUAGAUAUCCAGCGUAGACAUGCCUAGUAUAUUAUCAAUCAUAAUUGGAACCUCGGCUUCGAUAGUGCAAGCUUGAUUGAUAUCAGACGGGCGGGUGUUUCCAUUUAAAAAAUAGAAAUGAGAAGUUGGAAGGGAAGAGGAGGUAUUGGAUUUGAUGGUACAACGAGAAGCCUCGAUAUAGAGUGAUGAUUUUAUAGGUUUCGUGCAAUUCAUAACAUAAAUAAUGUUAACCUCUAACCUUCCAUCAUAAUAAUAUUUAUUAUAAUAAUAAUUAUUAGAAGAAGAAGAAGAAAGGGAAAAAGAUAAUAGUUCAGGAUAAUGAAAAUAAUAAUAUACAGAACUAAGAGGAAGGGAGUUGCAAUCAUCCGUGUCCAAGCUCGCAUCAACCAUUCGUAUUGUAUAAUUUUCGUAAAAGAUUUGUUGGAUAGAAAAUUUCCCUUCUUUAUCGACCAAAAUGGUGCGAUUAUUGUUCUCACACUCAAAUUCAAAGCCAUAAUGACCACACUGGGGAGGUUGGUCUUUUAAUCGGAAUGGAAAACUGAUAUUCAAAUUCCCACAGAAAGUAGAGCCGCAGUCUUGGUUAAUAAGAUGCCUAGUAAAACAAACACCAGGAAAUAGAAUUACAAAAAAAGCAAAAGCGGGCAUUAGUUUUGCUUUUAAUUUUGGCAUGCUAAAAUUUUGGGUAAGGAAGAAGAACAAUAAUGGGGGUUAAUGAUUAAGUUUCCAACUAAAUCAGGGAAAUAUGUAAGAAAACUUCAGUGGGAGAAGAAGCAUUAAUGGGGACACAAGACUUUGACUAGUCUUCAGCUUUAUUUGGGAUGAAUAUUUUAUUUUCGAUCAAUUUUUUACACCUAUUUUUUUUAUUUUUUUUCUGGGAAACACCUCAGUCAAAGCACAUCUGAUUUCAAGAAGGUUAUGUCACCAAGUUAUUUGUCUAAUGCAUCUGUAUUGUUUAAGAGUUUAAUCUUUUCAUUUUAUGGUUGAUUUGAAUAUUUAUUUAAACUUAGAAAGGAAGGUUGAAAGUUAUUUCAGUAAUGCAUUUAAGAAUUUAAUUGAAUUAAUGUCAUCUGUUUCAAUUUAAUUGUGAAAUUAUAAAAAAAUUAUAAUUUGUGCAAAAUAACAAAUAUUAUUUUAAGAGUAUUUAGGAGCAAAGUUAGAAAUAUUUAUAGGACCGUGAUAUUUAUAUGAAGUAGACGUAUGAAUAAAGUGUUUUUAAAUUCGAGGUAGUUUUGAUCACCCAAAUCAAAAUUUAAAAAAAUAAAACAGGUUAAAUGCUCAAUCUAUAUUAGAUAUUGCAAUUAUUUAAGUUCAUUUUUUAUUAAAUUAAUAUUUCAAUACUACUUCAUUUUUAGAUAUGGUAAUCAUUUAACCUUUUUUUUACUAAAUUAAUAUUUAGAUGCUACUUUGUAUUAGUUUAUCAAAUUAAACUAAGAAUGUUACCAAAUAUAUUUUACCAAAUUAAUAUUUAGAUACUACUUUAUAUUACUUUAUAUUAGUUUAUUAAAGGGCCUAUUACGGGGAUCAUAUCCCCUUUGGGGUGCCUUAGAAGGUUUCCGACAACAUUUGCUUGUUCUGUCGGACCCUCGUGUAAAAUGGGACAUGAGUCCGUUGGGUGGUCUAACAUGGCACACAUUCCACAUAACCGUGCUGGGCUUGUUUUAUCUGUAAGUAAAUUUUGAACAACGCUAGUAAGCUUAUCACAUAACCGUGCUGGGCUUGUUUUAACUAUAAGCAAAUUUUGAGCAACGUUAGUAAGCUUUUCAAUUUUGUCUUCUAGAGAUAGAGAACUUAACCUAUGAUCCCGUCUCGUAAGUUCUAUAGCCAGUCGAAAUUGUUGAGUAUUUGUAGCCAUGGUUGAAAUCAACUCACUCACUCUCUGGGGCGUCAUAUUAACAAGUGCCCCUCCACUAGCAGCAUCUAUCAUUUUCAUUUUCAUCGGGAGUAAUCCCUAAUAGAAAUAUUACAAGAGUGAAUGUUCAAUCAGUCCAUGUUGUGGGCAACUUGCACACAACUUUUUAUAUCGCUCCCAGUAAUAAUAGAACGAUUCAGUCUCCUUUUACCGAAUUCUUAUGAUAUCCCUCCUUAAUUCAACUACUCCAACUGCUAGAAAGAACCUGUCAAGAUAUAAACGAGACAUGUCAGACCAUGUAUUGACAAAACUUAGAGGUAAAUAAAAUAGUCAUUCUCUAGCAGAAUCUGCUAAAGAGAAAGCAAAAACACAAAGUUUAAUCUGAUCAUCGAUUACUCCCUGAGGUUUCAUGCUUGUGCAAACCAUAUGAAAUUCCUUGAGAUGGGUAUGUGGAUUCUCAUUUGUAAUCCACAGAAGGUAAGCAAUAGAUAAAUCAGGUCUGAUUUUAACUCAAACGGUGUUCCUUCCGCCGUAUAAGUUAUAGAUGGGGGAGGUUGUUCAUCUAGGAUUGCUACGAGUUGGCAUAUAGUUUGCUCUACCAUAUCGUCUAGUUCGUCGAAUGAAAGAAUGUCCUCAAUGUAAAAUCCUAUUUCAAACCGGGGUUAUGGUCGUUUAUUGCAUCGAGUGGCUUCUCUUCGCAGUUUUUGAGCCAAAUUCUCUAUUUCUGGUUCAAAUUCUAGAGACCCCGGUUCUGACACGGUCAUAAGGAAAACAAACAAAAAUUUAAAAAAAUAAUUUCAAUCCCCGACAACGGCGCUAAAAUUUGAUGGGUGUCAAAACCACUAAAUAAAUUAAUUCCUACAAUAAAAUAACUCUAAACAGUAGUAAAGAGUAGUAAGGUCGAUUCCACAGGGAUUGGUGAUUAUGAUCAACUUUUGUGUUUUUCUUAUAAACAGAAUUUAUGUCGCCCCGAUAAUCGUGGCAAUAGACAUGCCCACGACUCCAAACGACCUGCUGGAAAAAAAAAGAAAUUAGGGGAGUUUCGAAAUGUUUAGAAAUUAAAUAAUUGAGACAACAUAAAUAAACAAUUAAAUAAAUUAGAAAUUAAAUUAAAUUAGAAAUUAAAUUCAAAUUUUGUAAACAGAAAUAAUAAGCCUUAGCCUUAGACUCAGUGAAUUUCGAUUUCUGAACUGAUCCUCGAAAAUUAGUUUUCUCCUCCAAACAAAAAGCUACUUAUAGCAGCUAGAACGUCCUAACUGUCAAUUCUUCCUCUCGUAGUUGAUUUCGGUACUACCUACAAACCAACCCUUAUUGAUGAUCUAAUCAGAAUACACGUGUUCGCAAUUCAAGAUUCCGAUAGCCUUACGUUUUGAAGAACCCAACUCGAAUUAACGGCCUCAACCGUGCUUGAUGUUUAAAUUUAAUCACUAUCUCCCUUGAUUUGUUCGCGAAAAUCUGAAUGCAGCACGGCCGACUCGUCUCUCCAAUUGUCCGCCAAAACAACUCCAACCCAACACGCUUUUUGAAUUGAAAUCGAGUUAACUUUAAGGAAUGAAUUUGUCAAUCCCGAUAGUUCGGAGAGAUGGUGAAUACUGAUUUGAAGAAUUUUUAGUGCGGAUACGUUUCUUACGAUUCCUAACUGGAAAGAAUACCGGCCUAAAGCUAAUUUAAAAUUAGUGAAGCCUGAAAUUAAUCAUACUUUGGUUGGUUAUAGAAGUGGAUUUGAAUGGAAAUGGUGGUAGGUGAAAGGGGAAGGGCUUGGGAAACAAUUAAGCUAAAACAUUGAAAUGAAAACAAAAGUUGGCAGAAUGCCUGCACUCUUACACGCAAAGUAAGAAAGAAAAUAAAAUGAUUUUUUUUCUAUUCAAUUGCCAAGUAAAUCAAGGUGUAUUUUUUCAAGUUCACCAUGGCACCUAUUUAUACAUAAAUAAUAUGCUAAAAUUAAGCUAGUCUCACCUACCCACUAAUUACAUGAAAUAAAUAUCAGAUUUCUUUUCUAAUUUUGGCUUUUAUAAAGUCAAAAAUCUUAUCAGUCCCUAAAUGACUCUAAAUUUCUGAUUCGACCCCUCUUCAAUUGCUUAUCCUUCAAUUUAAUCAUUUUCUGCUUGUUUUCAAAUUAAAACAUCUGAAUUUCAUUCCUGGCAAUAUUUAAACAUACAAUUCACCAAUUAGCAAAAAUUAAUUCAAGAACAAAUUGAUUUGAGUAGUAAAAUAUGCAAAAUAAAUAUACUAUCAUUAUAAUAAUUUUAUAUUCAAAUGGUUUAAUCUAACUACUUAUUUUGAAUUUCAUUGUCAUGAAAAUAUACAAUUUAUUAUGAUUAAUUUUAAAAUUAGUAUUUGGAACAUUGUAAGUAAGAUUAAGAUGAUCACAUGUCCAUUUAUUUAUUUAUAGAUUUUUAAAUAUAAUUUAAAGACCACUUGUUAUUAUUUAACUUUUGCUUGUGGAAUUUUUCUUUCUAUCAAACAAUAAUCCUUAAAAUCAUUAUCUAAAAAGGAAAAAAUAUUAAUAUUUAAAAGGAAUUUUAAUAAAAGUCAAUGCAAGUAUUAAGUCUUCUUUGAAACACAAAAAAACAUUUAAGUCGCGAAGAGCGACAACAACCUUUAAUUAAACAAAUAUAAUGAUAAGGAGAUAUAUAUCUGGUUUUCUUUUGGACGUAUAAUACUUGUCUACUUAAUUUACUUAGUUGAUUAUUUUAUUUAUAAAUUAAUAAAAAUGUUAAUAUUUUUAUUUCAAAUGAAACAUUAUAAUGUCAAAAUAUUUUAUAAAAAAUACUUUUUAUUGUUGUGUCCUGUCAUCCUUAUUUUUUUAAAAAUUAUCAUAUUACUGUGUUCAUAUCAUAUCGUACUCGUAUUACAUGUUUGUGUCCGUGCUUCGUAAAUAGUUUUUAAAUGUUAUUUUAGAAUAAUUAUAUAUGUCUUCAUUUAUUUUGCAUGAGUUUAAAAUAAUAAAAUUUAAAUUUUGAAUAUAAAUUCUAAUUAAUUUGCAUAAAAGAAUAUUUAACUAAAUUUAGAUUCAAAUCUAAAAUCUAAAUUUAAAUUUUAAUUAUCACAACAAUCAACUUAAAUUAAUUCAAAAUCUUAAAUUUGUUUCAUUUUGAAUGAAGUCUGGCUUAGCACAGUUGAAUAUCAAAGGUCUGUAAAAGUUGAAUCAUUAUAUAUGUGCUUCGAGUAAUUACUUAUUUCGCCUGAAUUGAAGCCCAAUUUUUUUUUUUUUUAGGAAUUUCGGGUCUCUUUAGUUACUUUUUGAAUCAUUAAAUAUUGCAAUUAUUUAAAUUUAUUUUUAUCAAAAAAAAUUUAGAAUAAAACUUCAUAAAUCAAAAAGAUCAUGAGAGAAGAGGGAGAGAGACCUAAUCCUAAUUCUUAGUUAUGUCUUUGAAAUAUUUUCAUAAAGGCAUGUGCUAAAACUUUUAGAUUCUAAAUAAGUUGGAUUGUUUCAAUUUUAUUUAUUUAAAAUCAAAACUACAUUUGUUUUUAAACAACAUCCAAUAAUAUAUUUGGUUCAUUUAACCAUUUAUUUUUAAACUAUAUUAUUUAAAAAAAAUCAAAUAAGAAUCACUAAACAACUUUAUAAAAUCAACAACACAUCCAAUAUUUACGGUGCAAAGAAACUAGAUAUGCCAACAACAAAAUAAUAUUGUCAACAUUCUCAUAUACGGCAACAAAAUUGUUCUAAAAGCAAAAGAAUGCUAAAUGAAUAAAAUUGUUUAUUAUUGUUUUGCCAUUAAUCUUAAGUUGGUGUAGGCUUAAUUUACGACUCUACAUCAAUAUUAUUAAUACUAAAAAUCUUAUCACACGUAUUUAGAAUAAAGUAUUUAAGAUAAUACACAAAAAUGAUAAAAAGUAUAAUUUAAAAUUAUUAAUAAUAAUAUAUUAAAUAUAUAUGAUAUUAAAAUAAAAAUAUUAGAAUUUUGAUAUACAAAAAUUUAUAUAGAAAUAUUUAUUAAAGUUUUACAUCAAGUUAAAAAAUUGAAAUUGGUAAACGUCCGCACUUCAAAAAUCAUUUUUGAUUUUAUCAUUGUUAAUAACUUUCUAUCGAUUUACAAAAAAUAAUAAUCAAAAUACACACAAUAUCUCACAAAAACAUUUUGUGUUAAAAUAAAGAUUUAGUUCUUGUUUUCGGAAUCGUAUCAAGUCGGUUUGAUAAAAAACUAUUAAUGUAUCGGUUUAAAGAGAAGUAAAAAUAUAAUUGACCCGUGAGCCUAUAUAAACUAGUUGAAUUAAUUUAAAAAUCAGUUAAAUUAAUGAUUGAAUCAAUUGAAUCAUAUUUUAUAAUUUUUAAUAUUUUUUUAGUAUCACAAAUUUUUAAUAAAUUAUUUAAUUUGAACUAGACGAAUCAAAAACAAAUGGUUUAACUAGUUUAGCCAAGGUUGUUUGAAUGGAACUAAAUCGAUUAGUUAUAUCAAUUAGAUUGGAAACCUAUAAGGGUGUUGAUUCAAAAAUAAAAUAUUGAAGCAGUUAAUUCGAGGAUUGAUACAAAUAGAUUGAACCAAAUAAAAAAUUAAUUAAGCUGAAUUUUAGUAUUUUUAUUUUAAUAAUUUAUUUAAUCAAUAAGAUUAAUUAGAACAACGAACCAAUGAUUUAAAUUUCAUCAUAAUCUAACUCUAAAAAUUGUGGAUUUGAGCGCUCCCAAAUUUUCCUUCGCCUUAUCUCUCUCUCUCUCUCUCUCUCUGCUCUUCAACAUCGUGUUUAGAUCCGUCCCUCCCAUCCUUGAAACAUUCCGUUUUUGACCCUUCUUCGUUGAAUCUAUCAAACAAAUUAGGGUUCCGAUCUGUUACCUGUUGUGUUCGUUUAAUUUUUUUUUUCUUUGCCUCAAAAUUUCAUCUUCAGAAAAAGAGAGAGAGAGAGAGAGAGUUUUCGAUUUUCCUUGAUUUUGCUUGAGAUUUAUGUUCUAAUCUGAAAUUCAUCACCUUAAUGAUUUGCUAUACCGGUUCGAUCUCCGUUACGAUUGCUUGCUUUUUGUAUCGGAUUUGGGGUUAAAUCCAAGCUUGCGUGUUUUUACAUUAAAUCAGUAACCAUCGGCUCAAACUCUACCCCUCUUUCUAUCUGGAAAAUUUUUACAUUAAAACAAACGGAGUUUGAAAGUUAAAAAUUGACAUUCCAUUGAGUUUAAGUUUGAAAGUUUGGCUCAACUCACCGAUUACACCCGCUUACCUGAAGUAGAAGCCCUCAUUACAUCUAUACAUCUGUGUGCGUGUGUUUUUCCGCUUCCUCUUCUUUCUUUUGGCCCUGUUUUUUUUCCUCUAAAAGCCUCACCUACAGCUUACUCCGUUCCCUGACAUUUGACAUUAAAAUUACACUGAAAAAGCUCACAUGUUCCCCAAACUUCAUAUAUUACUCAAGUUUCGAUUCCUUGUCUCCGCAUCGAACCGCCACUUUACACAGUCAGACUCUGUUUUACGAAUUACCGCCACCUACUGGACGAUCUGCCCAAACCAAGUUGAAAGCCCGAAUGAAGAAGCUAUAGAGCAUCCGAGAGGCUCCAUCGAUAUUUUCAAGCAAUGGGGUUGCUUUGAAAACGAUUUGUUGAAGAUCUUUUCACGCCAACCUUCUUUGCGCAACGCUCAAGCUACUCCCCUUUUAUCCAAACUCAACUUGCUGAGUAGCUUGGGACUCACCGGUUCCGACAUUGUCAAGAUGGUCAAUUGUCGUCCUCGUUUCUUUUGUUCUCGUAUCAAUAAUUGCUUCGACGAGGGGAUUGAGUUCCUCGUUAACCUGCUCGGGUCGCGAGAAAUGCUUCAUAAAGCACUUGUUAGGAACCCUUCACUCUUGACCUAUGAUUUUUACAAUACCAUGAAACCAGUCAUUGCAUUGUACGAAGAGAUUGACAUUAGUGGAAAUGAUUUGAUUGCUAUGCUCAUCUCCGUCCCACAUUGAUCCCAAGGACUUCUUUCAAUGAGGAGAAGAUGGAAUACAUAAAGAAAACAGGGGUUUCAAAAGGUUCCAAAAUGUACAAGUACAUUGUUUCACUCAUCGGAAUAUCGCGGAUCGAGACUAUACGUGAAAAGGUGACUAACUUGGAGAAAUUCGGAUGUUCAGAGGAAGAGAUUUGGAGUUUGUUGGGAAGUUCUCCUCUUAUUUUGACACUCUCAGUUGAUAAGGUUCAAAGGAACAUGACAUUUGUUUUGGGUAACCAUGAAGAUGAAGCUGUCUCCAAGAGUGGUGCUUGAGCACCCGUUUUUGUUGUUCAGCAACCUCGAAGCCGUAUUGAAACCGCGGAUAUCGUUGGCUCGGAAACUAAAGAAAAUGGAGCUUGAUCCGCAGAUUAAAGGACCGACCAUGUUGACGGCACUGAGGAUGACGGAAAAUCGAUUCUUGAAUGUGUUUAUUAAAUGCCAUCCGCAAGAUGUGGCAAAUGAACUGUUGGUGUUCUAUAAACAUGCCAAAGGUCUCAAGCCAUUGGCCGAAUCAUCGAAAAAAAUACUGCGUAAAGGAUUUCCAUUUUGAACAUUUUCGUUUGUUUGUUUGGUGCUGUCUUCAUUUUCCUUUUGUUCAUUCAUGUCAAGGGAUAUUUAGAUUAAAUUUUCAGAUUUAUAACUUUUAUUCUCGAAGGGAUAAUGUGAGACUCAAAAUUUUGGGAUAUAAAAGGGGAUGCCUCUUCGUGUUUCAUUGGUGUUCUCUCUCUGCUUAUAUCCCUUAUACUCCCCGUGAUGAAGAGGUGAAAUUUUUUCUAUGUAUGAUGGCUGGAGGGAAUAUAGAUUAUGGAACUCUACCAUUAUUAACUUUGUACGCUCAAUUGGCACCAUUGUUGUGGUACAAGUAGAAAAAUGUGGGUUAAAACGUGUUUAAAGGCGUAUUUUCUUUUUAUUAAGAGUUUAAAGGAGAUUAUGAUUUAUGAACAGUAAUUUUUAAGGUAAAUCUUAUUCUAUAUAUUUUGACCAAUGAUUAUUUUUAUCCUUAAUAUAAAUUUGUGUUAAUUUUGGUUUGGAUGAUGUUUAUUAUUUUUAUUAAUUACUUUUCAAUGCGGAUAAAAUCUUGCACCAAUUAAAAUUCAUAUAUUAUCAUUAAUAAAAGAUAAAUAAAUAAAUUAAAUCUUUUUAAAUGUCUUUAUUAAAUUAGUUUCUUAUUUAUAUUCAAAGUUUAUUAAAUAGUAUUAUUUUAUUUUAUAUAAUUGAUGUAAAGUAAUAUAUAGGGCAAAAUAAUAUAAAGCUAAAAUGAAGUGAAAUGUUUCUAACCUCAUACAAUAUUUCAACUUGUUAUAGUACGAGUAUCCAAUGAUUUACUUGACUCAUCAUUAGAGUUCUCACAUGAUGUUUCAAGAGGAAGUUGAUGGAAUGGCUUAGGAGGCAUUUUAAGGAGUUCAACAUCAGAGUCAAGCAUCUUCAAGACUUCACUCAUUGAAGGACAUGUCAACAACAAAACAAUAAUGCCAACACUCUCAAACGCAACAACAAAAUGUUUUCGAAAAGGAAGUAGGCAUCACACUUAGAGUAGUACAGAAAUACUUGGAUUGUAACCAUGAAAAACGAAAUAAGAUAUCCAACAUCCUCAUCACAAUGGAUUCUCCUCUGAUUCAUUAGUAGCCUCUGCAAUGUAAUAACACGAUUAAAAGUUAUUGUAGCAGACUCUUAUAAAUAUUAAAAAAUUAACUUGUAAAUGCAUCGAUCAUGUCUAAAUCUAAUCUAAGUCAAGGUUGAUCUAAACAUGAAAAUUCUAACCAACUCAUCUCAAUUGAGUCCAACUAAACCUAAACUAAAUUGACACAAAAAUCUAUUUAUAUAAUUUACUUUUAAUUUAUAUAUAAUUUUAGUUAUGAUUUAAAUUUAUACAUUUAAUAUUGAACAAAUAAUCAAAUUAAAGAAAAUUUAUAAUUAUGAACAAUAACUUAACACAUAGGUAAUUAAAGAAAAUACUAAUAUAUAUAUUUAUAUUUAUAUAUAAGGUAAAAUAAUAUAAAGCUAAAAAGUGAGAUAAUGAAGUACAAUGUUUCUAACCUUAUGCAAUAUUUGAACUCGCUAUAGUAACACUAUCCUAUGGUGUACUUGGCUCAUUAUUAGAGUUCUCACAAUUAUGAACCUCUAUUGAUGUUUCAAGAGGAAGUUGAUGGAAUGGCUUAGGAGGCAUCUCAAAGAGUUCAACAUCAGAUUCAAGUAUCUUCAAGAUUUUAUUCAUUGAAGGGCGAUCAGAAGGUAGUAAUUGUAUACACCAAAAAGCAAUUAUUAUCAUCUUUUUCACCAUUACUUUUUCAUUGUCAGAAAUAUCUCCGAACUCCAAGUCCUCUCCUUGAUCCAAUUGGUCAUAAAUCCAAGAUAAAAAAUAUAUUUGACUAGUGUGGUCAGCAAAUGCGUUCACAUUCUUUCUCCUUCCAACUAUUUCCAUCAAUAACAUUCCAAAACUAUAAACAUCGGCUUUGUAUAAGAUGCCUCAAUAUAAAGUGAUGAUUUUAUAGGUUUCGUGCAAUUCAUAACAUAAAUAAUGCUAACAUCUAACCUUCCAUCAUAAUAAUUACCAUAAGGAUAAAUAUAAGAAUAAGAAUAAGAAUCUACAGAAGUAAGAGGAUACGUUUGAAGAAUUUUUAGUGUGGAUACGUUUCUUACAAUUCCUGACUGGAAAGAAUACCAGCCUAAAGCUAAUUUAAAAUUAGUGAAGCCUGAAAUUAAUCAUACUUUGGUUGGUUAUAGAAGUGGAUUUGAAUGGAAAUAGUGGUAGGUGAAAGGGGAAGGGCUUGGAAAACAAUUAAGCUAAAACAUUGAAAUGGAAACAAAAGUUAGCGGAAUGACUGCACUCUUACACACAAAGUAAGAAAGAAAAUAAAAUGAUUUUUUUUCUAUUCAAUUGCCAAGCAAAUCAAGGUGUAUUUUUUCAAGUUCACCAUGGCACCUAUUUAUACAUAAAUAGUAUGCUAAAAUGUCUCACCUGCCCACUAAUUACAUGAAAUAAAUAUCAAAUUUCUUUUCUAAUUUUAGCUUUUAUAAAGUCAAAAAUCUUAUCAGUCCCUAAUGUCUCUAAAUUUCUGAUUUGACCCUUCUUCAAUUGCUUAUCCUUCAAUUUAAUCAUUUUCUGCUUGUUUUCGAAUUAAAGCAUCCGAAUUUCAUUCCUAACAAUAUUUAAACAUAAAAUUCACCAAUUAGCAGAAAUUAGUUCAAGAACAAAUUGAUUUGAGUACGUAAAAUAUGCAAAAUAAAUAUACUAUCAGUAUAAUAAUUUUAUAUUCAAAUGGUUUAAUCUAACUAAUUAUUUUGAAUUUCAUUGUCAUGAAAAUAUACAAUUUAUUAUGAUUAAUUUUAAAAUUAUUAUUUAGAACAUUGUAAGUAAGAUUAAGAUGAUCACAUGUCCAUUUAUUUAUUUAUAGAUUUUUAAAUAUAAUUUAAAGGCCACUUGUUAUUAUUUAACUUUUGCUUGUGGAAUUUUUCUUUCUAUCAAAUAAUAAUCUUUAAAAUCAUUAUCUAAAAAGGAAAAAAUAUUAAUAUUUAAAAGGAACAAAUCAAUGAAACUCCCUUUUUUUUUUUUCUUUUUUUCUUUUUUUUGAAUAAAAGUCAAUGCAAGUAUUAAGUCUUCUUUGAAAAACAAAAAAAACAUUUAAGUCGCUAAGAGCGACAACAACCUUUAAUUAAACAAAUAUAAUGAUAAGAAUAUAUAUAUAAUAUUAUUUGUCUGGUUUUCUUUUGGACGUAUAAUACUUGGCUACUUAAUUUACUUAUUUGAUUAUUUUAUUUAUAAAUUAAUAAAAAUGUUAAUAUUUUUAUUUCAAAUGAAACAUUAUAAUGUCAAAAUAUUUUAUAAAAAAUACUUUUUAUUGUUGUGUCCUGCAUCCUUAUUUUUUUUAAAAUUAUCAUAUCACUGUGUUCAUAUCAUAUCGUACCCGUAUUACAUGUUUGUGUCUGUGCUUCGUAAAUAGUUUUUAAAUGUUAUUUUAGAAUAAUUAUAUAUGUCUUCAUUUAUUUUGCAUGAGUUUAAAAUAAUAAAAUUUAAAUAUAGAAUAUAAAUUCUAAUUAGUUUGCAUACAAAAUUAUUUAACUAAAUUUAGAUUCAAAUCUAAAAUCUAAAUCUAAAUUUUAAUUAUCAUAACAAUCAACUUAAAUUAAUUCAAAAUCUUAAAUUUGUUUCAUUUUGAAUGAAGUCUGGCUUAGCACAGUUGAAUCAUUAUAUGUGUGCUUCGGGUAAUUAUUUAUUUCGCCUCAAUUGAAACCCACUUUUUUUUUUAGGAAUUUCGGGUCUCUUUAGUUAUUUUUUGAAUCAUUAGAUAUUGCAAUUAUUUAAAUUUAUUUUUAUCAAAAAAAUAGAAUAAAAGAUGAUGAGAGAAGAGGGAGAGAGACCUAAGUCACAAUUAAUCAGCCUUACUCAAAUAUACCUAAUCCUAAUUCUUAGUUAUGUCUUUGAAAUAUUUUCAUAAAGGCAUGUGCUAAAUAAAUUGGAUUGUCUCAAUUUUAUUUAUUUAAAAUCAAAACUACAUUUGUUUUUAAACAACAUCCAACAAUAUAUUUGAUUCAUCUAACCAUUUAUUUUUAAACUAUAUUUAUUUAAAAAGAAUCAAAUAGGAAUCACUAAACAACUUUAUAAAAUCGACAACACAUCCAAUAUUUACAGUACAAAGAAAUUAGAUAUAAUAUUGCCAACAUUCUCAUAUACGGCAACAAAAUUGUUCUAAAAACAAAUGAAUACUAAAUGAAUAAAAUUGUUUAUUAUUACUUUGCCAUCAAUCUUAAGUUGGUGUGUGGGCUUAAUUUAAGACUCUACAUCAAUAUUAUUAAUACUAAAAAUCUUAUCACACGUAUUUAGAAUAAAAUAUUUAAGAUAAUACACAAAAAUGAUGAAAAGUAUAAUUUAAAAUUAUUAAUAAUAUAUUAAAUAUAUACUAUAUUAAAAUAAAAAAAUAUUAGAAUUUUAAUAUACAAAAAUUUAUAUAGAAAUAUUUAUUAAAGUUUUACAUCAAGUUAAAAAAUUGAAAUUGGUAAACGUCCGCACUUCAAAAAUCAUUUUUGAUUUUAUCAUUGUUAAUAACUUUCUAUCGAUUUACAAAAAUAAUAAUCAAAAUACACACAAAUAUCUCACAAAAACAUUUUGUAUUAAAAUAAAGAUUUAAUUCUUGUUUUCGGAAUCGUAUCGGGUUGAUUUUAUCAAAAACCUAUUAAUGUAUCAGUUUAAAGAGACGUAAAAAUUUAAUUGACCCGUAAACCUGUAUAAACUAGUUGAAUCAAUUUAAAAAUCAGUUGAAUUAAUGAUUGAAUUAAUUGAAGCAUAUUUUAUAAUUUUUAAUAUUUUUUUAGUAUCACAAAUUUUUAAUAAAUUAUUUAAUUUGAACUAGACGAAUAAAAAAUAAAUGAUUUAACUAGUUUAGCCAAGGUUGUUUGAAUAGAACUAAAUCGACUGGUUAUAUCAAUUAGAUUGGCAACCUAUAAGGGUGUUGAUUCAAAAAUAAAAUAUUGAACCAGUUAAUUCGAGAAUUGAUAUAAAUAGAACCAAAUAAAAAAUUAAUUAAACUAAAUUUUAGUAUUUUUAUUUUAAUAAUUUAUUUAAUCAAUAAGAUUAAUUAGAACAAUGAACCAAUGAUUUAAAUUUCAUCAUAAUCUAACUCUAAAAAUUGUGGAUUUGAGCGCUCCCAAAUUUUCCUUCGCUUUCUCUCAGUCUCUCUCUGUUCUUCAACAUCGUGUUUAGAUCCGUCCCUCCCAGCCUUGAAAGAUUCCGUCUUUGACCCUUCUUCGUUGAAUCUAUCAAACAAAUUAGGGUUCCGAUCUGUUACCUGUUGUGUUCGUUUAAAAUUUUUUUUUCUUUGCCUCAAAAUUUCAUCUUCAGAAAAAGAGAGAGAGAGAGAGAGAGAGUUUUCGAUUUUCCUUGAUUUUGCUUGAGAUUUAUGUUCUAAUCUGAAAUCCAUUACCUUAAUGAUUUGCUAUAUCGGUUCGAUCUCCAUUACGAUUGCUUGCUUUUUGUAUCGGAUUUGGGGUUAAAUCCAAGCUUGCGUGUUUUUACAUUAAAUCAGUAACCAUCGGCUCAAACUCUACCCCUCUUUCUAUCUGGAAAAUUUUUACAUUAAAACAAACGGAGUUUGAAAGUUAAAAAUUGACAUUCCAUUGAGUUUAAGUUUGAAAGUUUGGCUCAACUCACCGGUUACACCCGCUUACAUGAAGUAGAAGCCCGUAUUACAUCAAUACAUCUGUGUGUGUGUUUUUUCCCGCUUCCUCUUCUUUCUUUUGGCCCUUUUUUUCCCUCUAAAAGCCGCACCUACAGCUUACUCCGUUCCCUGGCAUUUGCCAUUAAAAUUACACUGAAAAAGCUCACAUGUUCCCCAAACUUCAUAUAUUACUCAAGUUUCGAUUCCUUGUCUCCGCAUCGAACCGCCACUUUACACAGUCAAACUCUGUUUUACGAAUUACCGCCUGCGCCACCUAUUGGACGAUAUGCCCAAACCAAGUUGAAAGCCCGAAUGAAGAAGCUAUAGAGCAUCCGAGAGUCUCCAUCGAUAUUUUCAAGCAAUGGGGUUGCUGUGAAAACGAUUUGUUGAAGAUCUUUUCACGCCAACCUUCUUUGCGCAACGCUCAAGCUACUCCCCUUUUAUCCAAACUCAACUUGCUGAGUAGCUUGGGACUCACCGGUUCCGACAUUGUCAAGGUGGUCAAUUGUCGUCCUCGUUUCUUUUGUUCUCGUAUUGAGUUCCUCGUUAACCUGUUCGGGUCGCGAGAAAUGCUUCGUAAAGCACUUGUUAGGAACCCUUCCCCCUUGACCUAUGAUUUUCACUGUCGAAAUCAUUUUUUUAAAAACAAAAAUUUAGUUAUCGACUUUGAAAACAAAAAUUGGAGUCGCCACCGAUCCAUGAUUUAGGUGUGAUCGGCUCACCUUAAAAACAAAUUUGGUCUACAAAAUUUGAGAAAACAGGUUCGAGAGUCAGUUACGUACGAGGAAGGGUUAGCACCCUCGUAACGGCCAAAAUCGGUACCAAAUUGAUUGUUUAAUGUCUUGGUGUCAAAAAUUUGAAAAGAUUUUGAAUGAAAACUUUUAACUCAUGAAUGAAUUAAAAUGAUAAAACAUUUUGAUUUCAAAGAAAUAAAACAUUACACCCAGUAAGUUAGGCCACAAUAUUUUUAAAUCUUCAAAAUUAAGUUUGUCUUUUGAUUUUAAAACUCACAUAGUUAAAUCUAAGAAGGAUAUUCGGUUAUUUAGGUCGAAUGAAGAAAAUCGAAACCCAAUACGUUAGGGCACAAUUUCUCAAAAUUCCAAAUACCGAAUAUUGCCUUUUGUUUUAGAAAUUCUUAUUUCAAGAGGAUGAAAUGUCAUGACCAGUAAGUUAGGACCCGACAUCUUUGAAUUUCCGAGAAUAAGCUUUUAUUUGAAAUUUGUGUGAUCUUAUUGAAAAAUAAAUACUUGGCUUUCUAAAUUCGUCGAAAAAUAAUCGAAAUCCAAUACGUUAGGACACGAUUAUUUUCUCGAGAAUCAUGAAGGCCAAAUAUUUUAGAAAUUUAUAAAUAUGAUGACUUUAAUGCUUAACAAAAACAAAAUAUAUUUUCUUUAAAAGUAUGAUAAAAUGUUAGUGUAUAACAUGAAACCAUCAUUUUAAUUUAAAUUAUAUGUAUAUGUACUCACAAAAUAAAAUAAGAUAUAUAAGUAAAUUUUAAAAAUAUGUAUAUAUUAAAACAUGUAUAUACAAGUAUAUGUAUAUAAAAUAAUAAAAAAUAAAAAAAUAUAUAAAACAAAAAAAAACUUAUUAUAAUUUCUAAGAAAAUAUGUAUGUAUAUAUAUAUGUGAAAUGUAUGAAAAUAAGAUAAAAAUAUAAAAGUAUGCAUAUGUGUAUAUAUUUACAAAGAAAAACAAUAUAUAUAUAUAAAUAUAAUAUAUAAAUAAACUAAGAAAAUAUAUGUGUGUGUGAAAAUAUGUAUGUAUAUAAAUGUAUAUAUAAAAAAUGAAAUAUAUAACAAAAACGUAAGUAUAUAUAACCUAUAAAAACAAUAUGUAUGUAUAUAACAUAAAGAAGAUCUAUAUAUGUAUGAAUUAUAAAAUGGAAAAAUGUAUAUAUAUAUAUGUAAACUAUAUAUAAAAAACUAAGAAAAUAAUAUAAUAAUGAAAUAUAUAAAAUAUGCACAUGUAUUUUAAAAACAUUUAAAAUAUAUACAUAUAUUUAUUAUGAAACACAAACAUAUGCGUGUAUAUAUGUAUAAUAAUAAUAAUAAUAAUAAUAAUAAUAAUAAUAAUAACAGCUUAAUAACAAUAACAAUAUUAACAAACUAAUAUAUAAUCUAAUUUGUAAAAGCAAAUACAAUGGACUAAAUUUGAAUCAAAACAAAAUUAAAAACACAAAAUCCAAUUAAAACAGAGGAUGGAUUUGCAAAAUGCGUGCAACAUGGAGGGCCAAAAGGGAAAUUAUUCCCACCCUUCCAAAACGUUGUGCAGCAUGAGAUUAAAAUAAAACAAAUUUAAUAUGUCAUGGAAAAAUUUGAAAACAAAAAAAAAAACAAUGGUUUUGAAAUGAUGGAAAACAUGAAAGGGUUAAAGACGUAAAUAACCCAUCAAUGUUUAAAACCCAUUUUAAAAUCUAAUUAAAACCCCAUUUCAUUUUCAGCAACAGCAGCCACAAGGGCUGCUUCAUCUUCUCCUUUGCUCCUCACACCGAAAUCAAGCAACAACGUCAACGGCGCGCCUCUUCUGGUAAGAGUCUUCCCUCCUUCUCUUUAUUUUAUGUUUUGCACACCCAGAAAAAAGAAAAAAAACAAAGAAAUAUCGAAGAAAGCGAUAAAAAUUGAAGAUAAUCACCUUUCGAAAUUGAACUGCUAUGUUUUUAUUCCUUUUGUAUUUCGUUUUACACUGACUUCUUUCUCUCCUUUUUUUUGUUCAAUCCCCCCUUGUUACAAAAAUCAAUUCCUUUUUAUCUCCCUCUCUUCCCUUUUACCAUUUGCUGUCUGUACUGCCACUUAAAUCCAUUUUUCGCAGGUAUGGAGAUCGUGGAGGGCGACGUGGGUGAUGGACGGUUGCUGUAACGUGAGGAUGACGUGCGAUGCUAACUGCUGUUAGCCACUGCUUAGAGUUAGGCUGGGAUUUGGGUUAGUGACUUGGGCUUGUAAUGGGUUUGGGCUUUAGGCUUAGUUGAGUCCGGGUCAAAAAUUGGAUAUUUCGAUUAUUUUCUCGAGAAUCAUGAAGGCCAAGUAUUUAUUUUUCAAUAAGAUCAUACAAAUUUCAAAUAAAAGCUUAUUCUCGGGAAUUCAAAAAUGUCGGGUCCUAACUUACUGGUCAUGAAAUUUCGUCCUCUCGAAAUAAGAAUUUCUAAAACAAAAGGCAAUAUUCAGUAUUUGGGAUUUUGAGAAAUUGUGCCCUAACGUAUUGGGUUUCGAUUUUCUUCAUUCGACCUAAAUAACCGAAUAUCUUUAUUAGAUUUAACUAUGUGAGUUUUAAAAUCAAAAGACAAACUUAAUUUUGAAGAUUUAAAAAUAUUGUGCCCUAACUCACUGGGUGUAAUGUUUUAUUUCUUUGAAAUCAAAAUGUUUUAUCAUUUUAAUUCAUUAAUGAGUUAAAAGUUUUCAUUCAAAAUCUUUUCAAAUUUUUGACACCAAGACAUUAAACAAUCAAUUUGGUACCGAUUUUGGCCGUUACGAGGGUGCUAACCCUUCCUCGUGCGUAACUGACUCCCGAACCUGUUUUCUCAAAUUUCGUAGACCAAAUUUGUUUUUAAGGUGAGCCGAUCACACCUAAAUCAUGGAUCGGUGGCGACUCCAAUUUUUGUUUUCAAAGUCGAUAACUAAAUUUUUGUUUUUAAAAAAAUGGUUUCGACAUUCACAAUGCCAUGAAACUAGUCAUUGCAUUGUACGAAGAGAUUGGCAUUAGUGGAAAUGAUUUGAUUGCUAUGCUCAUCUCACGUCCCACAUUGAUCCCAACGACUUCUUUCAAUGAGGAGAAGAUGGAAUACAUAAAGAAAACAGGGGUUUCAAAAGGUUCCAAAAUGUACAAGUACAUUGUUUCACUCAUCGGAAUAUCGCGGAUCGAGACUAUACGUGAAAAGGUGACUAACUUGGAGAAAUUCGGAUGUUCAGAGGAAGAUAUUUGGAGUUUGUUGGGACGUUAUCCUCUUAUUUUGACAGUUAUUUUGAAACUCUCGGUUGAUAAGGUUCAAAGGAACAUGACCUUUGUUUUGGGAACCAUGAAGCUGUCUCCAAGAGUGGUGCUUGAGCACCCCUUUUUUUGUUGUUCAUCAACCUCGAAGCCGUAUCGAAACCGCGGAUAUCGUUGGCUAGGAAACUAAAGGAAAUGGAGCUUGAUCCGCAGAUUAAAGGACCGAUCAUGUUGACGGCAUGAGGAUGACGGAAAAUCGAUUCUUGAAUGUGUUUAUUAAAUGCCAUCCGCAAGAUGUAGCAAAUGAACUGUUGGAGUUCUAUAAACAUGCAAAAGGUCACAAGCCAUUGGCCGAAUCAUCGAAAAAAAUACUGCGUAAAGGAUUUCCAUUUUAAACAUUUUCGUUUGUUUGUUUAGUGCUGUCUUCGUUUUCUUUUUGUUCAUUCAUGCCAAGGGAUAUUUCGAUUAAAUUUUCAGAUUUAUAACUUUUAUUCUCAAAGGGAUAAUGUGAGACUCAAAAUUUUGGGAUAUAAAAAGGGAUGCCUCUUCGUGUUUCAUUGGUGUUCUCUCUCUGCUUAUAUUCCUUUUACUCCCCGUGAUGAAGAGUUGAAAUUUUUUCUAUGUAUGAUGGCUGGAGGGAAUAUAGAUUAUGGAACUCCACCAUUAUUAACUUUGUAGGCUCAAUUGGCACCAUUGUUGUGGUGCAACUAGAAAUAUGUGGGUUAAAACGUGUUUAAAGGCGUAUUUUCUUUUUAUUUAAGAGUUUAAAGGAGAUUAUAAUUUGUGAACAGUAAUUUUUUAAGGUAAAUCUUAUUCUAUAUAUUUUGACCGAUGAUUAUUUUUAUCCUUAAUAUAAAUUUGUGUUAAUUUUGGUUUGGAUGAUGUUUAUUAUUAUUUUUAAUUACUUUUCAAUGCGUUGCACCAAUUAAAAUAAAUUAAAUCUUUUUAAACGUCUUUUAUAAAUUAGUUUCUUAUUUAUUUUCAAAGUUUAUUAAAUAGUAUUAUUUAUUUUAUAUAAUUAAUGUAAAGUAAUAUAUGGGGCAAAAUAAUAUAAAGCUAAAAUGAAGUAAAAUGUUUCAAACCUCAUACAAUAUUUUAACUUGUUAUAGUACCAAUAUCCAAUGAUUUACUUGACUCAUCGUUAGAGUUCUCACAUGAUGUUUCAAGAGGAAGUUGAUGGAAUGGCUUAGGAGGCAUCUCAAGGAGUUCAACAUCAGAUUCAAGCAUCUUCAAGACUUUACUCAUUGAAGGACGAUCAGAAGGCAGUAAUUGUAUACACCAAAAGGCAGUUAUUAUCAUCUUCUUCACCAUUACUUUUUCAUCGUCAGAAACAUCUCCUAGCUCUAUGUCCUCUCCUUGAUCUAAUCGGUCAUAAAUCCAAGAUGGAAAAUAGAUCUGACUAGUGUGGUCAGCAAAUGCAUUCACAUUCUUUCUCCUUCCUACCAUUUCCAUCAGUAACAUUCCAAAACUAUAAACAUCGGCUUUGUAUGAGAUGCCUCCAAGAUUUUUGUAAACCAAUUCAGGAGCAAUAUAUCCUAUCGUUCCUCGUGCCGCAGUGAGAGAGACA
This 22146-nucleotide long non-coding RNA is filed under the name Gossypium raimondii (Peruvian cotton). RNAcentral describes it as "long non-coding RNA (GRAI_LNC000890)". The record is from RNAcentral. Lineage: Eukaryota; Viridiplantae; Streptophyta; Magnoliopsida; Malvales; Malvaceae.